RNAcentral lists this long non-coding RNA (24935 nucleotides) under Eucalyptus grandis. RNAcentral's name for it is "long non-coding RNA (EGRA_LNC002634)". The record is from RNAcentral. Lineage: Eukaryota; Viridiplantae; Streptophyta; Magnoliopsida; Myrtales; Myrtaceae.
GACUUGAUUUGCACACUGAUAUUCUCAGUAAUUGUGCUUUGGACAACAAUAACGAUGCUCCGUAACAUUCUGGAGGUUUUGAUGGAGAGUACGCCUAGAGAGAUUGAUGCCACUAGGCUCGAGAGUGGACUUCGCGAGAUGGAUGAAGUGAUUGCAGUCCAUGAAUUGCACAUCUGGGCUAUAACGGUUGGAAAGGUGCUAUUAGCCUGCCAUGUCAAAAUAAAGCGUGACGCCAAUGCGGAUAUGGUCCUGGACAAGGUCGUGGACUACAUCAGAAGAGAGUACAAGAUAAGUCACGUCACCAUUCAAAUAGAAAGAGAGUAGAUUUCGGAAGGUGAAUGAUUUAGUUAUGGCAUUGUAUAUGGAUGGUAGCGUCAAUUUGGCUUCUAAGUUGUUUAGAUAUUGUCGUUUGGGCCUUUUUCUCGUAGCUGGGCCUUUGAGGCCCUUCAGGAGUAUGAUGUAAUGUUCGCUUCUCCUUUGUUGGAAUCUUAUGUUUAAGAGCUCUUUUAUCUAAUAAUACCAGUUUCUCCAACAAAAAGAUUAAAAAAAAAAAAGAAAAAAAAAGAAAAAGAAAACACUGGAAAAGUCGGGAAACAACUUCUCAAGAACAAUUUUCCUUCAAAUAAGUGGACCGUAUAUGUAGAUGAAGAGAGUGCAAAUCCCGUAGACAGGCGACAUGGCAACAACAUACGGGAUGCCAAACACCCCGAAGGGUCCCUAUGGAGAAGCCAUUCCUCGCUUGUGGGCUCGUAGCUCGAUUUUGCUUGAAGCAAGAGGCAACUGGAACAGGGAAAAAGAAAGUGAAAGGUAUUCAAGGCCCAGGAAAGCGACAAAUGGGUCGUGUUGGGAGCCCAUUUGGCGUCGAAUUCGGGAUUGCACGUGAGCACAGUUGUACUUGUUAGGUCACAUGUCAUUUUAUAUUAGACCGAUAACCGUCUUAAUACGACGAUUUACCCCGAGCCAUCACAAAUUGCGUACAAAACUACGGUAUUUUGCCCGCACCCGACAGCCGCAAGGGAGCAAUUAUGUAGGUUCUAUCGUGGGAAUGGCCUGAGCCAUUGGGGCCUCUAGAAAAGAGAUCCAACUCAACAUUUCUCCAAAUUGAACUUCAGGGCCUCCGUUCAAUUCGUGAUGAUCAUGUGAUUUGUAAAAGUUGCAUUAUUAAUUUUUUUUUUGUAAAACAGAAUUAGCAUCACGUUUAUAUGUUGUAUAAUCUGUAUAAAAACAUAUUAUUGACGCCUAAAUUUUUCCCUUUACAUAGAAAAUUAGGGAUUAGUUUCUAAAAAAUAGAAAAAUAAAAUGAAUAAUUUUCAUUAAAAUGCAUCGUGUAUGUUUUCAUUAAAAUGCAUUGCACAUAGACAUUAGGACUAUUUACAUUACUAUCACUAAUUAUUAAAACUAAAAAAAAUCAAUAAAAAAUCAAAAAUUUAGAAAACGGGACCGGGCUAGGCCGGGUCCUUUUCCGUUCUUCUCUCCCUUGUAUCUCUUUUUGCUUGGGCCCAAGCCCAACCUCAUUCCUUUCUCUAGGCCUAGCCAACACAUGGGUUUUCUUCCUCCAUACGCCAUCACGCCUUUGCAAGGAAAAGAGUACAACAAGUCAGAAAGAGGCAAAGGAUCACGAGCUACGGAUGGCGACGUGAUCUGCGGGUCGGGGUUAGGCCGGCUAGGGAGCUGGUGGUGGCAGAAGCCAAGCACGCAGGUUGCUAGUCGUUAAAAGGAGAGAGAGAGAGAGAGAGAGAGAGAGAGAGAGAGAGAGAGAGAGAGAGAGAGGGUUUUUUGGCUGAGAGAGAAAGAGAGGUGUUUUUUUGGCCGAGAGAGGGAGCGACAUAGAGAGGGUGAGCUUGAGAGAGAGAGAGAGAGAGAGAAAGAGAGCGAGCUCAUGAGAGUCCUGGAUCAUCGCCAGAGGCCCACCGUUCGUCGUAGCUAUUGAAUGAGUCAAUUUAUUUUUGAUUUGUUUUUCAUGUGUUAAUAGUCUAUUAAGCACUCAUAUUAUGUGGGUUUAUUGUUGUACUUGUUAAGUUAGUGGGCUGUGGUAGUUACCUAUUGGUGUAAAGCCUAUAUAAAGGCUAUAGUGUCAGUUUUAUAAAAGUUUUUCUGCAAACAAUUUUUCUUCCUUCGAGUAUAUCUUUCAAUCUUCUAUUUUCAACAGUGGUAUCAGAGCAAGGUUAGGAAGAAAAGUGUGUGUUUGAGUGUUGUAAAAAAGCAGUAAUGGCCUCAGAAACAUUUGUACAACCAGCUAUUCCACACUUUAAUGGUCACUAUGAUCAUUGGAGCAUGCUAAUGGAGAAUUUUCUCAAGUCCAAGGAGUAUUGGGAUGUUGUUUCCUUGGGAGUUGCCGAACCUGAAGAAGAAGCUGUGUUAACAGCAGUGCAAAGAACAGCUUUGGAUGCAUCAAAAUUGAAGGAUCUCAAGGCCAAAAACUACCUUUUCCAAGCAAUUGACAGAUCCAUUUUGGAGACAAUUCUUUACAAGGAUACCUCCAAGCAAAUAUAGGAUUCUGUGAAGAGAAACUAUCAAGGCUCAGCAAGAGCAAAGAGGCAGCAGCUUCAAACGCUUCGUUCGGAGUUCGAAAUGCUACGAAUGAAGUCAUGAGAGACAAUCACUGAUUUCUUCUCUCGGACAAUGGCAAUAAUUAAUAAGAUACGGAUUCAUGGCAACAAGACAGAGGAUGUCACCAUCGUUGAAAAGAUUCUUCGAUCUUUGACACCAAAGUUCAACUUUGUUGUUUGUUCUGUAGAAGAAGCCAAGGAUAUUGAAGAACUUUCCAUUGAUGAGUUGCAAGGAUCCUUGUUAGUUCACGAACAAAAACUCUUACAGCAAGAGACGGAAGAGCAAGCUUUGAAGGCCUCAACUAGAGAUCAUUCUUUAUCAGUAGCAAGGGUGAAUAGAGGAAGAGGUAGAGGAAGAGGGAACAACGAUCGCAGCAGCUUCAGCUUUGAUCAAAAGUCUGAAAGCCAUUCCUAUCGUGAUUUCCAAGGGAGAGGAAGAAGUCGUGGAGGACGACAUUCAACUUAUUUUAGGCCAAGGUCAGUAGACAAAUCCAAAGUGGAGUGUUUUAGAUGCCACAAGUAUGGACAUUACAAAUUUGAAUGUUGAACUAAUUUGAAUAGACAAAGUAUGAAAAGAACUAACUUUGCUGAAAAAGAAGAAGAAAUAUCUCUUUUGAUGGUGUGUUAUGAGAAGGAAGAAACUCAACCAAACAUGUGGUAUCUCGACACUGGUUGUAGCAAUCACAUGUGUGGAGACAAGAAGAUGUUUUAUGAUCUAGACGAAUCGUACCACAAUACCGUGAAGUUUGGUGGCAGUUCUAUUAUGUCGGUGAUGGGGAAAGGAAUGGUGGCAAUUCAUCCAAAAGGGACUUUGGUACAAAUCAUCUCAAAUGUAUUGUAUGUCCAUAAAUUGAAGACUAAUCUGUUAAGUGUUGGUCAGCUGCAAGAGAAGGGAUAUGAAAUCUCUAUUCAAGGUGGGAUUUGCAUAAUCCAAGAUGAGAAGUUGGGUUUAAUUGCUGAAGUCAAAAUGAUGGCAAUCGGAUAUUUCCACUGUAUCUCCACAACACUACAAAUUCAUGUUUCUUUGCAAGAUUGAAGGAGUAAGCUUGGCUAUGGCAUUUUCUCUAUGGGCAUCUCAAUUUCGGUGGGUUGCGAACACUACAUAAAAAAGAGAUGCUGGAGGGUCUUCCUCAAAUCUCCGCUCCUUUGGAAAUUUGUGAAAAUUGUGUUGUUAGCAAGCAACAUCGUGCUCAAUUUCCACAAAGAAAAUCAUGGAGAGCAAAAAUCCCAUUGGCAUUGGUCCAUUUCGGAUAUUGCGGACCAAUAUCUCCAAUUUCCAAUUGAGGUAAACUGUAUAUCAUUACCUUCAUUGAUGAUUUUAGCUGAAAGAUUUGGGUGUAUUUCUUGCAAGAAAAAUCUAAAGCUUUUGCAGCUUUCAAGAACCUCAAAGCACUUGCUGAAAAAGAUAGAAGAAAUCAAAUAAAGGUCCUUCACACGGAUCGUGGUGGAGAGUACAACUCACUUGAGUUUAUAGAUUUUUGUGUAAAGCAUGGCAUCAAGAGACAACUUACAGCAACCUAUACACCACAACAAAAUGGUGUAUGUGAGAGGAAGAAUUAUACCAUUCUGAAUAUGGUGUGAAGUUAAGGGGAAGUGGAAUUCCAAAAAGUUUCUGGCUUGAAGCAGUCAAUUGGAGCAUUCAUAUUUUAAAUAGAAGUCCCACUCUAGCUAUUCAAAAUAUGACACUAGAAGAAGCUGGGAGUGGCCAAAGACCUAUAGUAGAUCACUUUAGAAUUUUUGGGUGUAUUGCCUACGCCUAUGUUCCUGACCAGAAGAGGAAGAAGCUAGAUGACAAGGGAGUCAAAUGUGUUUUUCUUGGCAUUAGUGAUCAAUCAAAAGCCUAUAAACUUUAUGAUCCUAUGACCAAAAAAUAAUUAUCAACCAUGAUGUGAUUUUUGAUGAAGAACAAACUUGGCCAUGGGAUGAGUAAGGUGUUGGUAAGCAAAUUCCAACAAAUUUUGAAGAUGAAGAUGAGCUGGUGCAGCAACCCACAAUAACCCAAAUCGCCACAGGUAGUGUUCAAAGUACAACGACAGCUAUAGAACCUAAAGAUUGGCCUCAUCGUGUUCGACGGAGGCUUACAUGGAUGAGUGACUAUGAAGUAACAGGAGUUGAUCAAUAUGAAGAUCCACUUACCCAUUUUGCUUUGUUUUCAUAUUGUGAUCCAACAACCGUUGAUGAAGUAGUACAAAAAGAAAAUUGGAGGAUAGCAAUGGAUGAAUAAAUUGCAGCUAUUGAGAGGAAAAACACUUGGGAGUUGACAGAUCUUCCAAAAGGACACAAAACAAUUUGGGUCAAGUGGGUGUACAAGACAAAAUUGAACAAGAGUGGUAAAGUUGAGAAGUAUAAGGCACGCUUGGUGGCGAAAGGCUACAAGCAAGAAUUUGGAGUGGAUUAAAGAGAAGUAUUUGCACCUGUAGCAAGACUUGACACAAUCAGAUUGGUAAUUGCAUUAGCAGCACAAAAUUUAUGGCCUAUCUUCCAAUUGGAUGUGAAGUCAGCAUUCUUGCAUAGUGAUUUUCAAGAAAAGGUAUUUGUUGAUCAACCUUCUGGUUAUGUGAAGCUCGGUAGUGAACAUAAAGUUUAUAGAUUAAAAAAGGCACUAUAUGAGUUAAAACAAGCUCCCCGAGUUUGGUAUAAUCGCAUUGAUGCCUAUUUUUUUAAGAAAGAUUUUACAAAAUGUCCAUAUAAGCAUACACUCUUUAUUAAAAUUAGUGAUGGUGGAAAGUUGCUUCUUGUAUGCUUCUAUGUGGAUGAUCUUAUUUUUACUGGGAAUGAUAGUGUCAUGUUUGACAAAUUCAAGGAGUCUAUGAUUGAUGAAUUUGAGAUGAUUGAUCUUGGAUUGAUGCAUUAUUUUCUAGGCAUAGAAGUAAUUCAAUCUGCAGUUGGAAUCUUAAUGUCUCAAAAGAAGUAUGUUCAAGAGAUUUUGGACAGGUUUCAAAUGAAUAAUUGUAACCCGUGACUACUCCAACUGAAGUUGGAUUGAAGCUCUUGAAAAAUCCUAAUGGAAGUAAGGUGGAUAGCACUCUCUACAAGCAAAUUGUUGGAAGCCUGAUGUAUUUGAUAAUGACAAGACCAGAUAUCAUGCAUGCCAUGAGCCUUAUAAGCAGGUAUAUGGAGCACCCAACAGAGUUACAUCUACAAGCUACAAAAAUGAUUUUUCGCUAUUUGCAAGGAACUAAAAAUUUUGGGUUGUUCUAUAAAAAUGGGGAAAAGUCAGAUUUGUUUGGAUUUACAUAUAGCGAUUAUGCUAGAGAUGUUGAUGAUAGAAGAAGUACUUCAUAGUAUGUCUUUAUGCUUGGUUUAGGGGUGGUUUCAUGGUCUUCAAAGAAGUAAUCAAUUAUCACUUUAUCAAUAACUGAAGCAGAAUUUGUUGCUACAACUUCAUGCGUCUGUCAAGCCAUAUGGUUACGAAAGAUUUUUGGAGAGCUUCGGUUCAAACAACAAGAAGCAACUAUAAUCUAUUUGUUAACAUCUAAAUUUUGGCGAUCCGGUUAUUCAUUUAUUGUAUUAAAAAUUAGGAGUUAAUUUUAUCUAUAAUAUAUAUAUAUAUAUAUAUAUAUAUUAAUUGCAUAUCAUAUUAAUUUAGGUGCAUUUGUUUUUAAUUUGCAUUUUGUGUAUUUAUUUAUUGGACCAGUGCAGAUGGGUUGUAAUUAGUGUAUCUAAGCUUUAAUUUAGCAGGCCGGUAAGCUCAUGAAGCGAGCAAGAUUGGCCUAAGAAUUACUAGGAAUUUGAAAUUUUUCUAGGAUAUGAUGAAUUUUUUAGAUAGGGCAAAUAUGCAAAGUAAAUAUUGUGUUUAAAAAAGAAUUUUUGUGGAUAUGAAUUUAGAAAAAAUUUAAAUUUAAAUUUUUGGUUUAUAAAUAAGUUAUUUGGUUGGGUUUCAAGAAAAAGGCCACACAAUAGAGACAUUCGGCCACGUUGAAGGGAAAAAUUCAAGGAGAAAAACGUGAGAGAGGUUUUCCUUCGAUUCUUUGAGGGUCAAGAGAAAAGCAAAGUGAAAACGUGCAAAAAGGAAAAAGCAGAAGCAAAAAGUAUAAACAGGGGAGGCUUGAAGGGACAGCUACUGUUCACUGUCUUCUUCUUCCCCUGUUGCUCGCGUUCGGCGCACCAGCGGUCGGAAUACCACACCACCGGACGACCCGCGGCCUCCGACCCGUUCCUGCUCCAGGUUCCCGUCACACCAGCCUCGCCUGAAGCCACCACCGCGCGCUUCUAGCCCCCUGACGCCGCAGCAGCCACGAGUUUCCCCUGCUGAGCUUCCACCCUCCGAUCGAUCGCGCCUUUGCUCGACCACUGCAUCUCGUCGGAACUCUCGCCCGCGAGCCCGCGCCCCUGCACCGCGCCGCUCCACCAGCUGCCGCGCUCUGCUUCUCCCCUGCUCCCGCUCCGACUGACCCGCGACGCCCUUGGACGCCGAGCUUCUUCACGCCCAGUCGACGCCGCGACCCGACGACCCGCGAUCCGCGCUCCAGCUCCGUCGCCCCUGCGAAACUGCUGCUGCUUGCGACGCCGCCGCUGCUCUGCUCCGACCAGCGACUGAGGCCUCUGCCCUGCCACCAGAUCCGAAGCUCGAGCGACUCGCCUGCUGCCCGAGCCUUUCGCCGGCGCCGUGCCUGCAACCCUCCGACUCGACGCCCCUGCCUUUGCUGUUGAUCUGUCCGGCUGCCUCUCCGAGCGAGCUAGUCACAGCAACUCUCUCCCUGCCGCCUGCUGCCGUCCCUCGCCGGAGUCCCCGUGUCGGAGCUCCGACAACCGUGACCGGCGACUGACGGUAACCAACCACAAGCCGCACGGGCCCAAGCCUUGCUUGGAAGGAAAAGAGGAAAAAAAAAGAAAAAUCAAUUUAGGUAGUUUUUCCCUUUAUUUAUUUAUCUUCUAUUAUUAUUUUUGUUAUUUUACUUUAUUUUUUCUUUUUUAGUACAAUUAUUCCUUGAUGCAAUUAUGAAUUGUCCGACAUGAAAUAGCCUGUGAAAUUUGUGAUUGUCAGUCCGACUUUCGCGUCCGAAAUCCAACUUGUAAUUACUUAAAAAAAAAAUCGCUAAUUCGAUUUUCCACCCGAGAUUCAAUUAGCAAUUUAUGUAAAAUUGACCAACCCGAUCUCAUGUGCGAGAUAUGGUUUGUCAAUGUGAAUAUCAUCUUGCACUGAUUUGAUUUGCUGUCGUGUCGUUUAAGUUAAUUUUGUUUUUGUAAAAAAGAAAUCAUAAAAAUGUAGGUCGGAAUUAGGUUUAUUUCAUGUUUAAGGGUUUGCAUAUUUAGGAAUUAAAAAAUAAAAAAAAUCAAAAAUCAAAUCAAUUAAUUAAGGUUGCUAGUUUUUUUUUAACUUGGAUUACAUGUUUAAUUAUUUGGCAAUCAUUAAUUUCGAAAAUUAAAAAAAAAAGUAAAAAAGUAAAAAAUAAAAAAUCAUCAUGCAUAUGUCAUAUAGAAUUAGGGUAUCUUUUGCACGUUAUUGCAUAUUAGGGUAAGAUUGCAUGUUUAAUUUUACUUUCUAACUAAUUUUAAGUUUAGAUAGAUUUUUUAGAUAGAUUGCAUUUUAGGAUUAUCUGGAUUAAGAUAAUAUUUUAGUUUAAAUUAGGAUUUGACUCAACCUAAUUCCUAAUAUAAAUUGAAUAGGAUCUUAAUCUAGCUAGGUAAUUUUCACAUUUUACCUAAUUUCGAAUUUCAUAAAAAAAAAAUGUCUUAGAAUAAAUUAGUUUUAUUCUCUAGGAUAGAUUGCAUUCUUUUAGGAAAAAGAAAAAGAAAAAAGAAAAAUGUCAUAUGCACGUCAUUAGGAUUAGAUUCAUUGAAAUGCAUGUCAUAUAGUAGUUGUUGCUAGGUCCAUUCAAUUAGAAUUUACACGUCAUUAGAAUUAGGUCAUUUAGUUAAUAUUGCAUCGUAUAUUGCAUAAUUUUCAUUGAAUAAGUGAAAGAAAAUUGCGUGUUAAUUAUAAAUCAUAUUUAGGAUUGUUGAUGUGAAUUAUAAUUUAACAUUGCAGAUACUUUCGUUACUUUGAAGUAAGUUUUGCAAUUUAUUCAUUAUUAAUCUGGGUGUUAAAUUGGUGGAUUGCGCACCCGCAUGAUCGCUUCACAUAUUAGGAAAAUAGAUUUAAAAUCAAUUAAAGCUGCUUGCAAAAGCAUUUUUUAAAAUAAAAGAAUGGUACUGAAAUGGCAUUAGAGAAAUUUAGUGUAACUAAGUCCCCGUACCCAUAAUCUCUGGUUUGUAGGAGUAAGGUAAAACUUCCGUUACUUUACUUAGGUUUCUAAUCGACCCACCAAAAAAUAGAUUAGUAGCAACUCCAAGAUAAAAUAUAUAUGCAUGUUAAGAAUCUGAACAUAAAUUGCAAAUUGGUAUGAGCUUAUGAGAGCCCGAGUUAAGUCCAGGCUUAACAAUCCAUUAGCCAAACCCUAAGUGGUUCACAUUCGAAAAUUUGGUUGCGACACUAUUGUGACAACAGCUCAGCAAUCAAGCUAUCCAAAAAUCCAGUUCUACAUGGGAGGAGCAAUGAUAUAGAUGUGAAGUAUCACUUCUUAAGAGAUCUUACAAAGGAUAAUUGAGCUCAUUUUCUGUAGAAAUGAAGAUUAAGUGGCUGAUAUAUUCACCAAGCCCUUAAAGUUGCCCAUGUUUCAGAAGCUAAGAUAGCUCAUUGGUGUCCGUUUGUUGGAUAUUCCAAAUUGAGAUAAGGUCCUUUAAACCGAUGUUGCAUACAAUCAGUUUAUGGGAAGGAAUAUUGAAUGAGUCAAUUUCUUUUUAAUUUUUUUUAUGUGUUAAUAGUCUAUUAAGUACUCAUAUUAUGUGGGUUUGUCGUUGUACCUGUUAAGUUAGUGGGUUGUGGUAGUUACCUGUUGGCGUAAAGCCUAUAUAAAGGCUAUGGUGUUAGUUUUAUAAAUGUUUUUUUGUAUACAAUCAUUCUUCCUUCGAGUAUAUCUUUCAAUCUUCUAUUUUCAACGGUAGCUCUUUCCGAACCAGAAUCAUGUAUCAUCAAGUAGGCACGGUUUUAUUCAUUUCGGCAAGUGGAUUAAUGGCUGCCGGAGUUCUUGGCCAGCGGUGUAUGUGCCAUUGGUUUGGGUGAGCUUUCGAUGAGGAAGCAAGGUCUCGGUGAAGGAGAAGCAUCGGGGAAGAAGAAGUCCAAGGGGGAAGAGGGUUCGAGCGAGGGCAGAGAGGGAGAGAGAGAGAGGCUCUGGUGGCCACUGUGCCGUGCACAAAUUUGGUCCGACGACCACGCCUAGCCGACGUCCUCAAGCCUCACAGUGAAGGAACCUAGCUUUUCGCUUUGGGAAGAGCUCGAAGAGGAAGACGAGACCGCAAAUCCGAAAAGCUCUUUGCUUUCUGAUCGAAGCUCGACAAGCGCUCGUGCCCAAGAUCGCUCGCAAAGAUCCGAAGUCGAAGACGUGGGAGGUGCAACUGACGGUGGUGGUUCGAAGCAGGUGAGGGCAUGCUUUCUAGGGGGCUGCGAUGGACAAUGGGAGCAAGACAGAAUGAGAGGAAAAGAGGGAAGCUUUAUUAUGCUUUCAAUGGCGAUUCUAACGCUCAAAGGCAAGAGCAUACGAGACUAAAGCAAAAAGCGAAUGUCUGCUUUGCUCUCCGAACUUUUCGACCCCUCCAUCGGACAGCUUCAACCCAUCAAACCUCCAUUUUUGCUAGCAUUUCGCAGUGGAGGCAAAUUCGUCUCGACCCUUGAAACUAUACGGGGCGAUGCUGCCCAUGCUCGCAUUCUGAGGUUCUCCUGCUGAUGAGCUUGAACCCUCACGAAUCGCUCAACAUUGACCCACGAGAGGAGGCCGUGCUUUUGUUGUUCGGGUCUCGCGCGCAGGCCCCGAGCCGGAGCUUGUUCGCUUGUCUGGGGUUCGACUGCACGAAUUGGAUGCAAGGGAACCAUAUGCUUCAUCGGCUCGUGUCAAUCGUGGCGAAGGAGCUCCUGAACGGCCAGCGGGUGGUGGUGGUGGUUCGGUGAUGGAGGUUCCCAGCCUACUGUCAAAGAAGAAUCAUCUGCGUUUCCUGCUGUUCCAGGAGGAAAACCGCAGCUAAGUCCUCUCUGCCUUCUUUGGUUUUCGAGUUUUGUCCAAUCAUUAAGACAUACCACCCUCCACUCUAUUUACACGAUCGCUUGAAUUAUGGCUAUUCAUCAUAAAAUGACGGUCCCACAGGCUAUAAGUGUUUGUCGUUUCGUUUCUCUUUUGUCGUUCUCCACUUAAUUUUAGUGUUAAUACUUUGAAAAACUCUAAAUUAAUACUUCAAUGAUAAAUUAAAUUCAAAUUAAUUUUUUAACUACGAAAAAUUCUAAACUGAUACACAUGUAAUAAAUUUACCUCAAAUUAUCACAAAAACCCUCAUACACGUGAUAAAUUUAUGUUGCGAUCUAAAUUUUGAGUGCUCUCUCAAAUCCAUAUCAAUUCGAGACUUAGGUUCAAAUAGUUAGCAUGCAAAUUAUUUUUCAAUUAGGAGUCGCCAUUAAUUUAUUUUUAGUGAGUCAAUUAGAAAUCCAAGUAAAGUAACGGGAGAUUUACUGUACUCCUGCAAAUCAGAGUUUGUGAAUUCGGGAACUUGCUUAUGCUAAAUUUCCCUAACGCCAUUUUAGUACAUUUUUCUUUUAUUUCGAAAAAAUGUUUUGCAAGCAGCUUGAAUGUAAAUGUGCAAACCACCAAUUUAACAUCUAAAAAAGUAAUAAAUAAAUUACGAGACUUACCUCAUAGCAAUAAAAGUAUAUGUAAUGUUAGCUCAGAAUUUAUAUCAACAAUUCUAGAUAUGAUUUCUAAUUAAUCACUCCAAAUUUUUAGGAUUUUCUCUUGUUUAAAGAAAUUUAAGUUAUAUGUCAUACAAUUUAACCAAAUGACCUAAUUCUAAUGAUGGACAAUUUAUAAUUAAACGGACCUAGCAACAGUCAUUAAAUGACAUGUAUGAUAUUUUUUGCAUUAUUUUUUAAAAAAUCGAAAUUAAAAUUGCUAAAAUAUAAAAAUCUAACUACAAUGAGAUAUUAUCUAUUUUAAGUUAGGAAAUAGACCAAUUCGAAUCCUAUCUUAACUUAGAAAUUUAUCUCGACAUGCAAUUUAAUUCAAAGAUAUUAUCUAACCUAGACACCAUCUAAACAUGCAUUUUAAUAUAAUUAGAAAAGAAUCUAAUUAUUCAAUCAUGAAAUCAAUUCUAAUUUACAUGACAUGCAAAUGCAAUUUUUUGUAUUUUUUGGAUAGAUAAAUCAAUUAAAAGAUAAGUACCAAAUCAUUCGCGGUCAUCAAAAAUAUUAUCCAUUUCCAAUACCUAAUCAAACUUAAUUAUUUCGCCGAUAAAUUGAUCUUAAGCCUUAAAGAUCAAAAUAUCAAUUUUAUUCCCGCAAUAUUAAUUAUUUCAUCUAAAGCCCUAUAGAUGGUAUAUAAAUUGGCGUGCGGUUGCAGAUUGGGCAAUAAAUCGUAAUUGGAAAUACUCCAAUAAUUCAAAUAUACACAUAAGAUAUUGAAAAGCAUGCAUUAGGCAAUAAAAUAUCCAAAUUAAAUCUAGAUAAAAUAAUUACCUAAUUUCGCAAAUAAUGUUACCAAAUUUGAACCGAACGGAAGGAGUUAACGGUUGACGGCAGCGGAUGGUAGUGCUUGGCUAAAUGCGGGGGAUGGGCAACCAUUGGCGGUGGGACGUUGUCAUUCGGAGCUCCAGCAAGGGGCAGCAAGCGCGGACCAGCAGAGGGCACACGGCAGCAAAGGGGCAGUGCUCAGGCGACCUGGCAGAGCAGAAACAGCGGCGGCCGGCGUGGAGGGCGGCAGGCGGAGGCACGGCGGAGGAGAGCUGGUGCAGGCGCGGUGGUCCCCGGGCGGAGCCGCUGCGAGAAAGGCGGACGACGGACGCCAGCGGCAGGCGGGUCGCGGGCCGACGCGGGCUGCAGGCGAGGCGGACGGCGGACGCAGCGACGAGCGAGCGGGAGGAGACGUCGGGUCGUCGCGGGCGGAGCAGCGGUGACCGGCGAGGGAGCGAUGGCUUCGCGGGGGACGAGCGGGCGAAGGCGUCGGGCGCGGUGGCUGGUGCAGGCGCGGUGCGGCGAGGACAGGGAGCGCGGACGGACGGGCUGGCGGCUGCUGGCGUCGUACGGAGGCUCGGCUGCAGGUCGGGCGGAGCGGGAGCAGCGAGGCAGCUCGCGGAGCGGCGGUAACGCUGCGAACAGGGACUGAGCUUCGGCUGAUGGGCGGCGACCGGCACGGGGGGAACGAGCGGUGGUGCUGGUGUGGCAACGACACGGCGUCCGGCGGACAGAGGCGCUGGGACAGGGGCGACGACGACGGAGGCGAGCUGCUGUGGCGUCGCAGCAGCGGCGGAGCAAGGGGGCGGCGAGGAGCUCGGCUGCUGGCGUCGUUGGCGCUCGGGCGGAAAGCAGAGGUAGCGACGGCGAGCUGCUGGUGGUCGCUCAGGCGAGGGGACCCCCGGACGGCUGCAGGGGCUCGGCGAGGAGCUGCUGCACGAGGAAGAAGAAGACCUUUUGUUCUUUUGUUCUUUUUUUAUUUUUCCUGCUCUGCUGCACGUCCCUCUCUCUCACGUUCCUUCUCUCUGUCUCCGUACCUUUCUGCCCUCUUUCAGCAAAAGUAGAAGACAAAAAGAACUUUAAAAAAAAAAAAAUGAAAAUCCAGAAGAAAAACCCCUAUGAAGUGAUCCCCAAAAAAAACGAUUUUUUUUUUCCCUUUUGUCUUGAGUUUUUGACCUAGAAACCGAGAGAAAAACCCCCCGUUUUCUUCAUGAAUUGUGGCCGUGUGUUUCUAUGGCGUGUCCCUCCCACUUUCUGUAGUGUAGCUACCUUUUUAUAAGUGAGUAUACUAGGGUUUUAAAUUAACAUCCAUGAAGAUUUCUUCUUAACACAAUAUUUCACCGAUUUUAUCACAUAUUGAUAAGGAUCCAAGAUUUUUCCAAAUUUUGAAUCUUGCAAAGAUAAGCUCGCAAUAUAUUUUGUCACACCUAUCCUAUUCGAUGAUAUUGAAAAAUCCCCAUCAUAUUCUGGAAAAAUUCAAAUCUCUCUUUUCUCACAGUGUAAUUUUUUUAUUAUUGAAAAAAUGAGCUUGGGCUAAUUUGUUCUCUUCAUGGGUUUAGUCCACCCUGUCAAUUUAGAGCUCAGAGCUACCAAUUCAAACCCAUCUGUCAUAAAUGCACAUAAAAUUAUAUGUUAUGUAAUUUGAUUUUUUUUAGGGGUUAAAAAUUAAUCCAUAAUUUUUAUAAAAUAGAUAAAUAAUUGAAUCGCCAAAAUUUAGGUAUCAACAAUUUACCAAAAACUAAUUUGUUUAACUGUAAAAAAAACCCUAAACUAAUAUAUUUGUGAUAAAUAUAUCAUCCGUUAAAUUGGAUUAAUGUCACAGAAGACCAUAAAAAUGGUACGAAUAUGACAUACAAAGUAAAAUCUCAAAUAAGUAUAUCGGUCAAUUGGUAGAUGUCAUCCAAUUCAGUAAUUUGACAAUAAAAUUUAAUAAAAACUAAUAUAAGGUAAAUUUAUUAUAAAUGUAUCAAUUUAGAGUAAAUUUGUCAAACGUAUAUUAGUUUAGGGUUUUUGAUAGUUAAAAAAUUAAUUUAAAGUAAAUUUAUUAUGUGUAUAUUAUUUUAUUAAUGUGCAAACUCAGCCGUCUAUCAUAUUAACCCUUAAUUUUAUUAUGUUUGUAGGUGGGCAAUCUUUUUCAAGUCAUUUUUCAAUUCCAAUCAGUUGGCACAUUUCUCCUACUAGUCAAAUCAUACUAAGUUCCAAUCACAUUGAAACAAUCAUAAUCUGUUGAAUAGCAAAUAUCCCAAAAUAAAAUGAUUUAAUAGCACAAAAAAUUUCAAAUUAGUUAAUUUGCAAUCAAUUUAUCAUAAAUUAAAUUUUUUUGCUAGCAAAAACCCUAGAUAGAUACAAUUGUGAUAAAUUUAUCUUACCAAAAAUUUUAAAAUAGUAUAUUUAUAACAAAUUUUCUUUUCAUUAUUUUCUAUUAUAUUGGAUUAAUACCACAAAAAAAAAAAUAAUCUCAAAUUGGUACACAAACAAAAGGCAAAAUCUCAAAUUAAUACAUUCGUCAAUUAUCACGUGUAAUCUAAUUUAGAAAUUUGAUGAUAAAAAUUAAUAAACAAUAAAUUUGUUACACGUAUACUAGUUGAGAAUUUAUGAUGGUGAAAAAAUUAAUUUUAAUCAAAUUUAUUACAAUCAUAUCGAUUUAGGACUUUCGUGAUAUUGACUCGAUAAAAUUAUUGCGAAAGAACAUGUUUUGGCUGUGGAUUCGCAAGCAAUGAAUCUGCAUGCAUUGACCUUGGAUAAUGAUCUGACCGGCGCAGGGACCGCAUGAUAAUAUACUUAAAUCAAAUUAGAUUAAAAAAGAGAGGAAUUUUUAAUUUGUUUUACUCUUUUCAUUUUUGGAAUUUUAAUCGAGGACGUCAAACUCCCUCCCGAACCUCGGUUAUAAGAGGGAGAACAGUCGAAGCUCUCGACGGAAGGAGAUGAAGACGAGGGAGACCUAGCCGGAGCGCAAACGCCUCCACCCCGAAAAGAACCGGCGACCGCGUCAAUCUCUCCAUCUCCGGAGCGGCAAGGUCUGUUGUUUUUCUCCCAUUCGCCUUCACUUCGGUGGUUUUCUUCUUUUUUAUUCUUUUUCUCUUUUGGGUUCGGAUUCGUGGUUUGAUGCUGUAAUGUCGAUCGGUGUCGAAUUCGGUUCGAGCUGAUACAAGGGUUUUGUUGGAGGGUUUCCUUUCCUUUCCUUUUCUUUUUUUCCCUUUUUGUUGAUGCGAUUAUGUGGGAAUUCGAGGGUGACUUCGAGUGUUGACUUGAUGAUGAGCUUUUCAAGAUAUUGGAUUCGAUGCUGCUUUCAAUGGCUUAGAGUCUGGUUGUAACUGAAUUAAGAAUUACGCUACUGGGAACUUGAUGGGUGUGGGCUUUCUUGGCUUUGAAGAAGAUGAUGAGUCCGUUUUGCUUGUAUUACAGAGGCCUAAUGCUUGCAGAGUGUCACUGGGCCCCCUUGUUUUGGCCUCUUUUAGAAUUUUUCGGGUGCGAAUGUUCAGGUGUGAUUGUGUAAUUCUAUUUUUGGUUUGGGGAUUCGGCUGUCCUUAGCCUUUUAUGACAAAGAUCUGUCAUCCGUGCAUGUUUGUAGUGUUCUGUCAUAAUUUGACUUGUACGGCAUAUCUCCUUGGUCCAUAGGACUUGUGUGUUUAUCCUCUUUUUAGCUGACGGUAUCAUCAGUUGAUUUGAUUGACCUGUUGCCGAUAUUUCUUCUUAUGGUAUCUUUGCUUAUGAGAUUUUUCUUCACCUAUAUGUCGUGAGUAUCGGGCCAGUCAUCUGGGUAAUUGUACUUGAGCUGUGACUUAACUUUGUUGCUCGAUGCUGGUUUUAGAUGUCACUGGUCUUCAAUGACCAGUAAACUGAUUGCUUCAUACUUUUUCGUGGGUUUGAUAGUGCAGGGAUCCUUCAUUGCAUUUAAACCUUAGCAAAGAAAGUUCUCAAGCCAAAUAAAUAAAUUAUGUCUGACUUAUUUGCUAUGUAAGCGAACCCGAAAUAUUGAUGUUAAUCUAGUCUAUCUGCAACCAGUCCUAAUAUACAGCUCAUAGCAACACGUGGUACCUCACCAUAUGCGGAAAAGCUUGGCCAAAAUGAAAUAGGCAAACUAAGAAUCAAAUUUUUGGGCAAGCAUUUUGGCCUAUAACAUGGCACCAUGAGUUGUUAUGGCCUAUGUGUGAGGAUUAACUACAUCAACAUUCUCAGUCCCUUGGAAUGAAAAAAGACACAAAAAUCAAGUGAAAAAUACUCGUUAAUUCUGAUCUGACAAGAGGGAUCAUAUCUUGGUUUGUACGAGGCCCAAGAGUGCCAGUGUAUAUUUGGGGAAUGCAAUCGUCUUGCUAUAUCUGGCAAACUUCAAUAUGUUAUCUCUUUUUUCUUUAAGUGGAACCAUACAACUUUAGAUGAGGAAAUGAAAUAAGCCAUAAAGAUUUCCUGGUAUAGGCUUAGUCUUACACUGGUAUCCUACAGUGUACCUUUAGCUAUGCAGCCAUCACUCACUUAGGGUAUUUGACUCACUUGGUUGUUUCUUUUGCUACAGAUGAGCACGCGUGAUUCAGAACAUGGACAUAUCAUUGAAGUGUGUGGAGAUGAGCCAGCCAUGGAAAUAAGCCAGGUUGGUAGUAAGGUGUGCGCAGAGGCACCUUGUGAUUUUUCAGACGCUAGAAAUAGUUCGAAAGAUGCAAGAGAGAGGUCAACCUCUAUGAAGAAAUUUUUGAUUGCGGUUGUGCUUUGUAUUAUCUUCAUGAGCGUAGAAGUAGUUGGUGGUAUUGAAGCCAACAGUCUUGCCAUUCUCACAGAUGCAGCGCAUCUGCUGUCGGAUGUUGCCGCAUUUGCAAUAUCCUUAUUCUCUCUUUGGGCAUCAAGUUGGGAGGCAACUCCACGCCAGUCUUAUGGUUUCUUCCGAAUUGAAAUUCUUGGUGCACUUGUCUCCAUCCAGAUUAUAUGGCUACUUGCUGGGAUUCUCGUGUAUGAAGCAAUGGAAAGACUUAUCAACGGUACAACUGAAGUUCAUGGCUUUCUCAUGUUCAUUGUUGCUGCCUUUGGUCUUCUUGUGAAUAUUGCCAUGGCACUGUUACUGGGUCACGAUCACAGCCAUGGUCAUGGACAUAGUCAUGGGCAUGAUGAUGCGCAUGAACACAGUGCUCAUGCUCAUAGCAACGAGGAUGAUGGUGAUUUGCAUACUCAUGGAUUAACCAUCAGGAAACAUGACCAUCAUCAUCAUGGAGAAGAUUCUAAAGGACAUCCCGAUCAACAUCAUGACCAUGAAACAGGUCAAACUGAGCCGCUUUUGCAGACUUGCUCGGAAGCUGAAGGUAACUCAAAACCUGGAACCAAAGAGAAGAAGCAACGUAAUGUUAACAUACAAGGUGCUUAUCUUCAUGUACUUGGGGAUUCCAUUCAAAGUGUGGGUGUGAUGAUUGGGGGUGCAAUUAUAUGGAUUAAGCCCGAGUGGAAAAUUGUCGACUUGAUUUGCACACUGAUAUUCUCAGUAAUUGUGCUUUGGACAACAAUAAGGAUGCUCCGUAACAUUCUAGAGGUUUUGAUGGAGAGUACGCCUAGAGAGAUUGAUGCCACUAGGCUCGAGAGUGGACUUCGCGAGAUGGAUGAAGUGAUUGCAGUCCAUGAACUACACAUUUGGGCUAUAACGGUUGGAAAGGUGCUUUUAGCUUGCCAUGUCAAAAUAAAGCAUGACGCCAAUGCAGAUAUGGUUCUGGACAAGGUCGUGGACUACAUCAGAAGAGAGUACAAGAUAAGUCACGUCACCAUUCAAGUAGAAAGAGAGUAGAUUUCGAAAGGUAAACGAUUUGGUUAUGGCAUCAUACAUGGAUGAUAAUGUUAGGGUCACAUUUUAGCUUCUAAUUUAUUUGGAUGUUGCCGUUUCGGCCUUUUUCUCUUAGCUGGGCCUAUGAUGUAAUGUGCGCUUCUCCUUUGUUAGGAUCUUAUGUUUAAGAGCUCUUUUAUCCAAUAAUACCAGUUUCUCCAACAAAAAGAUAAUAAUAAAAAAAAAAACACUGGAAAAGUCGGGAAACAACUUCUCAAGAACAAUUUUCCUUCAAAUAAGUGGACCGUAUAUGUAGAUGAAGAGAGUGCAAAUCCCGUAGACAGGCGACGUGGCAACAUACGGGAUGCCAAACACCCCGAAGGGUCCCUAUCGAGAAGCCAUUCCUCGCUUGUGGGCUCGUAGCUCGAUUUUGCUUGAAGCAAGAGGCAGCUGGAACAGGGAAAAAGAAAGCGAAAGGUAUUCGAGGCCCAGGAAAGCGACAAAUGGGUUGUAUUGGGAGCCCAUUUGGCGUCGAGUUCGGGAUUGCACGUGAGCACAGUUGUACUUGUUAGGUCACAUCUCAUUUUAUAUUAGACCGAUAACCGUCUUGAUACGACGAUUUACCCCGACCCAUCACAAAUUGCGUAUGAAACUACGGUAUUUUGCCCGCACCCGACAGCCGCGAGGGAGCAAUUAUGUAGGUUCUAUCGUGGGAAUGGGCUGAGCCAUUGGGGCCUCUAGAGAAGAGAUCCAACCCAACAUUUCUCCAUAUUGAACUUUAAGGGCCUCCGUUCAAUUCGUGAUGAUCAUGUGAUUUGUAAAAGUGGCAGUAUUAAUUUUUUUUUCUUAUGAAACAGAAUUAGCAUCAAAUUUAUAUGUCGUAUAAUUUGUAUAAAAAAAUAUUGUCAAUGCCUAAAAUUUUCCCUUUCCAUAAAAAAUUAGAGAUUAGUUUCUAAAAAAAAGAAAAGUAAAAUGAAUAAUUUUCAUUAAAAUGCACCGUGCAUGUUUUCAUUAAAAUGCAUUGUGUAUAUUUUCAUUAAAAUGCAUUGCACAUAGACAUUAGGACCAUUUACAUUACUAUCAUUAAUUAUUAAUUUAAAAAAAAAUCAAUAAAAAAUCAAGAAUUAAAAAAAAAAAAGGACCGGGCUAGGCUCGGUCCUUUUCUGUUCUUCUCUCCUCUGUAUCUCUUUUCUCCUGGGCCCAAGCCCAACCUCAUUUCCUUUCUCCAGGCCUAGCGGCGCGUGGGUUUUCUUCCUCCAUACGCCGUCACGCCUCUGCAAGGAAAUGAGGAGUACAACAAGUCAGAGAGAGGCAGAGGAUCGCGAGCUGCGGAUGGCGGCCUGAUCUGCGGGUCGGGGUCAGGCCGGCCAGCGAGCUGGCGGUGGCAGAAGCCAAGCCCGCCGGUUGCUGGCCGUUAAAAGCAGAGAGGCCGAGAGAAAGAGAGGGGGUUGUUGGCCAAGAGAGGGAGCGACAGGCAGAGGGCGAGCUCGUGAGAGUCCCGGACCGUCGCCGGAGGCCCGCCGUUCGUCGGAGCAGCUCUUUCCGAACCAGAAUCGUGUAUCAUCGAGUAGGCGCGGUUUUAUUCGUUCCGGCAAGUGGAUUAAUGGCCGCCGAAGUUCAUGGCCGGCGGUGUAUGUGCCGUUGGUUUGGGUGAGCUUUCGAUGAGGAAGCAAGGUCUCGGUGAAGGAGAAGCAUCGGGGAAGAGGGUUCGAGCGAGGGCAGAAAGGGAGAGAGAGAGAGAGAGGCUCCGGUGGCCACCGCGCCGCGCACGAAUUCCGUCCGACGACCAGGCCCAGCCGACGUCCUCAAGCCUAGCGGUGAAGGAACCCGGCUUUUCGCUUUGGGCAGAGGUCGAAGAGGAAGACGAGACCGCAAAUCCGGAAAGCUCUUCGCUUUCUGAUCGAACCUCGACACGCGCUCGUGCCCAAGAUCGCUCGCAAAGAUCCGGAGUCGAAGACGUAGGAGGCGCGACGGAUGGUGGUGGUUCGAAGCAGGUGAGGGCGAGCUUUCUAGGGGGCUGCGGUGGUUCUUCGGACAGGGGGAUUCUACUUCUUCUUCUUCUUCUUCGGCUAAAAAGGAAACGGAGAGAACAAUGGGAGAAGGAGAGAAUGAGAGGAAAAGAGGGAGACUUUAUGCUUUCAAUGGCGAUUCCAACGCUCCAAGGCAAGAGCACCCGAGACUAAAGCGAAAAGGGAAUGUCUGCUCUGCUCUCCGAACUUUUCGAUCCCUCCAUCGGACAGCUUCAACCCAUGAAACCUCCAUUUUUGCUAGCGUUUCCCAGUGGGGACAAAUUCGUCUCGACCCGUGAAACUACACUGAGCGAUGCCGCCCGUGCUCGCGUUCUCGGGGUACUCCUGCUGAUGAGCUUGAACCCUCACGAAUCGCUCGACAUUGACCCACGAGACGAGGCCGUGCUUUUGCUGUUCGGGUCUCGCGCGCCGGCCCCGGAGCCAGAGCUUGUUGCGCUUGAUUGGGGUUCGACUGCACGAACUGGAUGCAAGGCAACCAUAUGCUCCGCCGGCUCGUCUCAAUGUGGCGAAGGAGCUCCUGAACGGCCAGCGGGUGGUGGUGGCGGUCCAGUGAUGGAGGUUCCCGGCCUGCUGUCGAAGAAGAAUCAUCUGCGUUUCCUGCUGUUCCAGCAGGAGAACCGCAGCUAAGUCCUCUCUGCCCUCUUUGGUUUUCGAGUUUUGUACAAUUAUAACACAUACCACCCUCGACUCUAUUCAUCAUAAAAUGACGGUCCCAUAGGCCAUAGUGUUUGUCGUUUUGUUUCUCUUUCGUCGUUCUCUACUUAAUUUUAGUGUUAAUGCUUAGAAAAAUUCCAAAUUGAUGCUUCAAUUAUAAAUUUAUCUUAAACUAAUUUUUUAUCAUAAAAAAUCCUAAACUGGUACGUAAUGAAUUUACUCCAAAUAAUCAUAAAAACCCUCAAACUGAUACAUUUAUGAUAAAUAUAUCAUCCGUUAAAUUGGAUUAAUGCCACGGAAAACCAUAAAAAAUGGUACAAAUAUGACAUACAAAGUAAAAUCCCAAAUAAGUAUAUCGAUCAAUUGUUAGAUGUCAUCCAAUUUAGUAAUUUGACAGCAAAAUUUAAUAAAAACUAAAGUAAAUUUAUUAUAAAUGUAUCAAUUUAGAGUAAAUUUGUCAAACGUAUACUAAUUUAAGGUUUUUGGUAGUUAAAAAAUUAGUUUGAGAUAAAUUUAUUAUGUGUAUAUUAGUUAAUUAAUGUGCCAACUCAGUCGUUUGUCGUAUUAAUCCUUAAUUUUAUUAUGUUUCUAGGUGGGCAAUCUUUUUCAUGUCAUUUUUCAAUUCGAACCAAUUGGCACAUUUCUUAAAAAAUUAGUUCGAGACAAAUUUAUUAUGUGUAUAUUAGUCUAUUAAUGUGCCAACUCAGCCGUCUGUCGUAUUAACCCUUAAUUUUAUUAUGUUUCUAGGUGGGCAAUCAUUUUCAUGUCAUUUUUCAAUUCCAACUGAUCGGCACAUUUCUCCUACUAGUCAAAUUAUACUAAGUUUGUCACUCAUUAGUUUAAGAAUGAGGCUCUGCCUCCUGGAGAGGCUCUUAGGGUGUCUUGGCGACCGUUGCCGCCUCUCCGAUCGAUAGCGGAGCUAGUGAUUUCGCCGAUCCACGACAGUGAGCGCGCUCACGCCCUUCGCGGACACGCUCAUCUCUUCCGAAACAGCUGCUCUUUCCAAAAAAAAGAAAAAUCAUACUAAGUUUCAAUCACAUCGAAACAAUCGUAAUAUGUUGAAUAGCAAAUAUCCCAAAAUAAAAUGAUUUAAUAGCACAAAAAACUUCAAAUCAGUUCAUUUGUGAUCAAUUUAUCAUAAAUUAAAUUUUUUGACUAGCCAAAACCCUAAAUAGAUACAAUUGGGACAAAUUUAUCUUACCAAAAAUUUUAAAAUGGCAUAUUUAUAACAAAUUUGCUUUUCAUCAUUUUCUAUUAGAUUGGAUUAAUAUUACGAAAAAAAACCUCAAAUUAAUACAUUCGUCAAUUAUCACAUAUAAUUUAAUUCAUAAAUUUAAUGAUAAAAAUGUAACGAAUAAUAAAUUUGUUACAUUUAUAUUAGUAGGAAUUUAUGAUGAUGAAAAAAUUAAUUUGGAUUAAAUUUAUUACAAUCAUAUGGAUUUAGGACUUUCGUGAUAUUGACUUGAUAAAAAUAUUGCAAAAAAAUAUGUUUUGGUUGUGAGUUGGCAAGCAAUGACUGUGCAUGCAUUAAACUUGGGUAAUGAUCUGACAGGGGCAGGGACCGCAUGAUGAUAUACUUAAACCAAAUUAGAUUUAAAAAGAGAGGAAUUUUUAAUUUGUUUUUGCUCUUUCUAUUUUGGGAAUUUUAAUCGAGGACGCCAAACUCCCUCCCAAACCUCGGUUAUAAGAGGGAGAAGAGUCGAAGCUUGGGACGGAAGGAGAUGAAGACGAGGGAGACCUAGUCGGAGCGCAAACGCCUCCGCCCCGAAAAGCACCGGCGGCCGCGUCGAUCUCUCCAUCUCCGGAGCUCAGUCCGGAGCGGCACGGUCUGUUGUUUUUCUCCCAUUCGCCUUCACUUCGGUGUUUUUUUUUUUUUUUUCCUUUCUUUUAUCUUUUUCUCUUUUGGGUUCGGAUCGUGGUUUGAUGCUGUAAAGAAUUUGGCUCGAGCUGAUAAAAGGGUUUUGUUGGAGGGUUUCUUUUUUUAUUUUAUUUCUUUUUGUUGAUGUGAUUAUGUGGGAAUUCGAGGGUGACUUCGAGUGUUGACUUGAUGAUGAGCUUUUCGAGAUAUUGGAUUCGAUGCAGUGUGCGAGUGAAUUUUGCUGAUUAUGAGCCAGGGGAGCUGCUUUCACUGGCUUAGAGUCUGGUUGUAACUGAAUUAAGAAUUACGCUACUGGGAACUUGAUGGGUGUGGGCUUUCUUGGCUUUGAAGAAGAUGAUGAGUCCGUUUUGCUUGUAUUACAGAGGCCUAAUGCUUGCAGAGUGUCGCUGAGCCUCCUUGUUUUGGCCUCUUUUAGAUUUUUUUGGGUGCGAAUGUUCAGGUGUGAUUGUGUAAUUCUAUUUUUGGUUUGGGGAUUCGGCUGUCCUUAGCCUUUUAUGACAAAGAUCUGUCAUCCGUGCAUGUUUGUAGUGUUCUGUCAUAAGUUGACUUGUAUGGCAUAUCUCCUUGGUCCUUAGGACUUGUGCGUUUAUCCUCCUUUUAGCUGACAGUAUCAUUAGUUGAUUUGAUUGACCUGUUGCCGAUAUUUCUUCUUAUGGUAUCUUUGCUUAUGAGAUUUUUCUUCACCUAUAUGUCGUGAGUAUCGGGCCAGUCAUCUGGGUAAUUGUACUUGAGCUGUGACUUAACUUUGUUGCUCGAUGCUGGUUUUAGAUGUCCCUGGUCUUCAAUGACCAAUAAAUUGAUUGCUUCAUACUUUUUCGUGGGUUUGAUAGGGCAGGGAUCCUUCAUUGCAUUUAAACCUUAGCGAAGAAAGUGUAUUUCUCAGAAAUAAAUAAAUUAUGUCUGGCUUAUUUGCUAUGUAAGCGAACCCGAGAUAUUGAUGUUAGUCUAGUCUAUCUGCAACCGGUCCUAAUAUACAGCUCAUAGCAACACGUGGUGCCUCACCAUCUGCGGAAAAACUUGGCCAAAAUGAAAUAGGCAAACUAAGAAUCAAAGUAGACCAGUAUAUUUCAUUUUUGGGCAAGCAUUUCGGCCUAUAAUGUGGCGCCAUGAGUUGUUAUGGCCUAUGUGUGAGGAUUAACUACAUCAACAUUCUCAGUCCCUUAGAAUGAAAAAGGACACAAAAACCAAGUGAAAAAAACUCGUUAAUUCUGGUCUGAUGGGGGGGAUCAUAUCUUGGGUUGGACAAGGCCCAAGAGUGCCAGUGUAAAUUUGGGGAAUGCAAUCGUCUCACUAUAUCUGGCAAACUUCAAUUUGUCAUCUCUUUUUCCUUUUAGUGGAACCAUCCAAGUUUAGACGAGGAAAUGAAAUCAACCAUAAAGAUUUCUUGGUAUAGGCUUACUCUUACUCUGGUAUCCUUCAGUGUACCUUUAGCUAUGCGGCCAUCACUUUAUUCGACUCACUCGAUUGUUUCUUUUGCUGCAGAUGAGCACGCAUGAUUCUGAACAUGGACACAUCAUUGAAGUGUGUCGAGAUGUGCCAGCCAUGGAAACAAGCCAGGUUGGUAGUAAGGUAUGUGCAGAGGCACCUUGUGGUUUUUCAGACGCUAGAAAUAGUUCGAAAGAUGCAAGAGAGAGGUCAACCUCUAUGAAGAAACUUUUAAUUGCGGUGGUGCUUUGUAUUAUCUUCAUGAGCAUAGAAGUAUUUGGUGGUAUUGAAGCCAACAGUCUUGCCAUUCUCACAGAUGCAGCACAUUUGCUGUCGGAUGUUGCCGCAUAUGCGAUAUCCUUAUUCUCUCUUUGGGCAUCAGGUUGGGAGGCAACUCCACGCCAGUCUUAUGGUUUCUUCCGAAUUGAAAUUCUUGGUGCACUUGUCUCCAUCCAGAUUAUAUGGCUACUUGCUGGGAUUCUUGUGUAUGAAGCAAUAGAAAGACUUAUCAAUGGUACAACGGAAGUUCAUGGCUUUCUCAUGUUCAUUAUUGCUGCCUUUGGUCUUCUUGUGAAUAUUGCCAUGGCACUGUUACUGGGUCACGAUCACGGCCAUGGGCAUGGUCAUGACCAUGGGCAUGAUGAUGCACAUGAACAUAGUGAUCAUGCUCAUAGCCAUGAGGAUCAUGGUGAUUUGCAUACUCAUGGAUUAACCAUCAAGAAACAUGACCAUCAUCAUCAUGGAGAAGAUUCUAAAGGACAUGCUGAUCAACUUCAUGGUCAUGAAACAGAUCAAACUGAGCCUCUUUUGCAGACUUGUUCGGAAGCUGAAGGUGACUCAAAACUUGGAGCCAAACAGAAGCAGCAACGUAAUAUUAACAUGCAAGGUGCUUAUCUUCAUGUACUUGGGGAUUCCAUUCAAAGUGUGGGUGUGAUGAUUGGCGGUGCAAUUAUAUGGAUUAAGCCCGAGUGGAAGAUUGUCGACUUGAUUUGCACCCUGAUAUUCUCGGUAAUUGUGCUUGGGACAACAAUAAGGAUGCUCCGUAACAUUCUGGAGGUUUUGAUGGAGAGUACGCCUAGAGAGAUUGAUGCCACUAGGCUCGAGAGUGGACUUUGCAAGAUGGAUGAAGUGAUUGCAGUCCAUGAAUUGCACAUCUGGGCUAUAACGGUUGGAAAGGUGCUAUUAGCCU